GAUGAACGCUGGCGGCGUGCCUAAUACAUGCAAGUCGAGCGAACAGACGAGGAGCUUGCUCCUCUGACGUUAGCGGCGGACGUGUGAGUAACACGUGGAUAACCUACCUAUAAGACUGGGAUAACUUCGGGAAACCGGAGCUAAUACCGGAUAAUAUAUUGAACCGCAUGGUUCAAUAGUGAAAGACGGUUUUGCGGUCACUUAUAGAUGGAUCCGCGCCGCAUUAGCUAGUUGGUAAGGUAACGGCUUACCACGGCAACGAUGCGUAGCCGACCUGAGAGGGUGAUCGGCGACACUGGAAGUGAGACGCGGGCCAGACGCUGACGGGAGGCAGCAGUAGCGAAUCUUCCGCAAUGGGCGAAAGCUUGACGGAGGAACGCAGCGUGAGUGAUGAAGGUCUGCGGGUCGUAAAACGCUGUUCUUGGGGAAGAACAAAUGUGUAAGUAACUAUGCACGUCUGGACGGUACCGAAACAGAAAGCCACGGCAAACUACGG
Molecule: ribosomal RNA, 496 nt
Filed under: uncultured bacterium
Lineage: Bacteria
Description: partial 16S ribosomal RNA
Rfam family: Bacterial small subunit ribosomal RNA
Source: RNAcentral